AACUCGGCAAAAUGACCCCGUAACUUAGGGAUAAGGGGUGCCACCAUCAGGUGGCCGCAGAGAAUAGGCCCAAGCGACUGUUUACCAAAAACAUAGGUUUCUGCUAAGUCGCAAGACGAUGUAUAGGAGCUGACGCCUGCCCGGUGCUGGAAGGUUAAGGGGAUCUGUUAGAGCAAUCGAAGCAGUGAACUUAAGCCCCAGUAAACGGCGGCCGUAACUAUAACGGUCCUAAGGUAGCGAAAUUCCUUGUCGGGUAAGUUCCGACCCGCACGAAAGGCGUAACGAUUUGGGCACUGUCUCAACAACAGACUCGGUGAAAUUGUAAUUCCGGUGAAGAUGCCGGAUACCUGCGACAGGACGGAAAGACCCCAUGGAGCUUUACUGUAGCUUGACAUUGGGUCUUGGUACUACAUGUACAGGAUAGGUGGGAGGCUUUGAAACCAGGACGCCAGUUUUGGCGGAGCCAUCCUUGGGAUACCACCCUUGUAGUACUGGGACUCUAACCAUAGGCCAUGAAUCUGGUCUUGGGACACUGUCAGGUGGGCAGUUUGACUGGGGCGGUCGCCUCCCAAAAGG
RNAcentral lists this ribosomal RNA (576 nucleotides) under Clostridioides difficile. RNAcentral's name for it is "partial 23S ribosomal RNA". It matches the Rfam family "Bacterial large subunit ribosomal RNA", at positions 1711 to 2297 of the family's 2925-position model. Lineage: Bacteria; Bacillati; Bacillota; Clostridia; Peptostreptococcales; Peptostreptococcaceae. The record is from RNAcentral.